RNAcentral lists this unclassified non-coding RNA (201 nucleotides) under Hevea brasiliensis (rubber tree). The record is from RNAcentral. Lineage: Eukaryota; Viridiplantae; Streptophyta; Magnoliopsida; Malpighiales; Euphorbiaceae.
AGAACUAACCAAUUAGUUAGUUAGUCUCCCAUCCUUAUAUGCUUUUUUAACUUUUUGUUUCUUUCCAAUAUGCGACUCUUGAGACAUUUGAAAGGUGAAAAAUGAAUAAAAAGAAUGGUAAACUGCUUAAAGAAACAUAUUAAUUUUUCUUUUUUUAAAAUAUGACUGUUAGAGCCUUACUUAUUGAUAUCAUCAGACGAG